This 428-nucleotide ribosomal RNA is filed under the name uncultured bacterium. RNAcentral describes it as "bacterial SSU rRNA". It matches the Rfam family "Bacterial small subunit ribosomal RNA", at positions 28 to 451 of the family's 1533-position model. The record is from RNAcentral.
GAUGAACGCUGGCGGCGUGCCUAAUACAUGCAAGUCGAACGAGGCCUUUGUAUUCGUAUGAAGGUGUCCUAGUGGCGAACGGGUGAGUAACGCGUUGGUGACCUGCCCCGAAGAGGGGGAUAACAGUUCGAAAGAAUUGCUAAUACCCCAUGUUGUCAUUUUGAUUAGAUGCUAAAUGACUAAAGGAGUAAUUCGCUUCGGGAGGGGCCUGCGUCCCAUCAGCUUGUUGGUGAGGUAAUGGCUCACCAAGGCUUAGACGGGUAGGGGACCUGAGAGGGUGACCCCCCACAAUGGAACUGAAACACGGUCCAUACACCUACGGGUGGCAGCAGUAGGGAAUCUUGCUUAAUGGGCGAAAGCCUGAAGCAGCAACGCCGCGUGUGCGAUGAAGGCCUUCGGGUUGUAAAGCACUUUUGAGGGGAAGAGGA